Molecule: ribosomal RNA, 253 nt
Filed under: uncultured bacterium
Lineage: Bacteria
Description: partial 16S ribosomal RNA
Rfam family: Bacterial small subunit ribosomal RNA
Source: RNAcentral
UACGAAGGGUGCAAGCGUUGUUCGGAUUUAUUGGGCGUAAAGCGCGCGCAGGCGGAUUAUUAAGCCAGAUGUGAAAUCUCGGGGCUCAACUCCGAAAGUGCGUCUGGAACUGGUAGUCUAGAAUAAUGGAGAGGGAGAGGGAAUUUCUCAUGUAGGGGUAAAAUCCGUAGAGAUGAGAAGGAACACCGGGUGCGAAAGCGCUCUCCUGGACAUUUAUUGACGCUGAGGCGCGAAAGCGUGGGGAUCAAACAGG